CAGAUGAGGAGCUUGCUCCUCUGACGUUAGCGGCGGACGGGUGAGUAACACGUGGAUAACCUACCUAUAAGACUGGGAUAACUUCGGGAAACCGGAGCUAAUACCGGAUAAUAUAUUGAACCGCAUGGUUCAAUAGUGAAAGACGGUUUUGCUGUCACUUAUAGAUGGAUCCGCGCCGCAUUAGCUAGUUGGUAAGGUAACGGCUUACCAAGGCAACGAUGCGUAGCCGACCUGAGAGGGUGAUCGGCCACACUGGAACUGAGACACGGUCCAGACUCCUACGGGAGGCAGCAGUAGGGAAUCUUCCGCAAUGGGCGAAAGCCUGACGGAGCAACGCCGCGUGAGUGAUGAAGGUCUUCGGAUCGUAAAACUCUGUUAUUAGGGAAGAACAAAUGUGUAAGUAACUAUGCACGUCUUGACGGUACCUAAUCAGAAAGCCACGGCUAACUACGUGCCAGCAGCCGCGGUAAUACGUAGGUGGCAAGCGUUAUCCGGAAUUAUUGGGCGUAAAGCGCGCGUAGGCGGUUUUUUAAGUCUGAUGUGAAAGCCCACGGCUCAACCGUGGAGGGUCAUUGGAAACUGGAAAACUUGAGUGCAGAAGAGGAAAGUGGAAUUCCAUGUGUAGCGGUGAAAUGCGCAGAGAUAUGGAGGAACACCAGUGGCGAAGGCGACUUUCUGGUCUGUAACUGACGCUGAUGUGCGAAAGCGUGGGGAUCAAACAGGAUUAGAUACCCUGGUAGUCCACGCCGUAAACGAUGAGUGCUAAGUGUUAGGGGGUUUCCGCCCCUUAGUGCUGCAGCUAACGCAUUAAGCACUCCGCCUGGGGAGUACGACCGCAAGUGAA
Molecule: ribosomal RNA, 844 nt
Filed under: uncultured Staphylococcus sp.
Lineage: Bacteria; Bacillati; Bacillota; Bacilli; Caryophanales; Staphylococcaceae
Description: bacterial SSU rRNA
Rfam family: Bacterial small subunit ribosomal RNA
Source: RNAcentral